RNAcentral lists this ribosomal RNA (492 nucleotides) under uncultured bacterium. Its description in RNAcentral is "partial 16S ribosomal RNA". It matches the Rfam family "Bacterial small subunit ribosomal RNA", at positions 29 to 507 of the family's 1533-position model. The record is from RNAcentral.
AGUGAACGCUGACGGUAGGCCUAACACAUGCAAGUCGAACGGCAGCACACUAAUAGCUUGCUCUUACGGGUGGCGAGUGGCGUACGGGUGAGGUAUACAUCCGAAUCUACUUUUUCGUGUUGGAUAACGUAGGGCAACUUACGCUAAUACCUCAUACCACCUACGGGUGAAAGCAGGGGAUCUUCGGACCUUGCGCGAUUGAAUGAGCCGAUGUCGGAUUAGCUAGUUGGCGGGGUAAAGGCCCACCAAGGCGACGGUCCGUAGCUGGUCUGAGAGGAGGAUCAGCGACACUGGAAGUGAGACACGGUACAGACUCCGACGGGAGGCAGAAGUGGGGAAGAGUGGAAAAUGGGCGCAAGCCUGAACCAGGCGUAGCGCGUGGGUGAAGAAGGCCUUCGGGUUGUAAAGCCGUUUUGUUGGGAAAGAAAAGCAGCAGGUUAAGACCCCGCUGUUCUGACGGUACCCAAAGAAGAAGCACCGGCUAACUUCGUG